AAACACUAAUUCACUAUUAAAGUCACCGGCACUUAAGCAUUUUCAACAAAUAAAGUAACCAACCACAUCACCUUCUAAACAAAAGUUCACUAUUAAAGUCACCGGCACUUAAGCAUUUUCAACAAAUAAAGUCACCAACAACAUCACCUUCUAAACAAAAGUUCACUUUUAAAGUCACCAAAACUUAAGCUUCUUCAACUAACAAAGGCACCAAUGAAACUAAUUCACUAUUAAAGUUAGAAAAAGUUAAGCAUUUUCAACAAGUAAAGUCACCAACAACAUCACCUUCUAAACACUAAUUCACUAUUAAAGUUACCGGCACUUAAGCAUUUUCAGAAAAUAAAGUAACCGACAACAUCACCUUCUAAACAAAAGUUCACUUUUAAAGUCACCAAAACUUAAGCAUUUUCAACAAAUAAAGUAACCAACCACAUCACCUUCUAAACAAAAGUGCACUAUUAAAGUCACUGGCACUUAAGCAUUUUCAACAAAUAAAGUCACCAACAACAUCACCUCGUAAACACUAGUUUACUAUUAAAGUCACCAAAACUUAAGCUUUUUCAACUAACAAAGGCAC
This 577-nucleotide long non-coding RNA is filed under the name Capsicum annuum. Its description in RNAcentral is "long non-coding RNA (CANN_LNC009715)". Lineage: Eukaryota; Viridiplantae; Streptophyta; Magnoliopsida; Solanales; Solanaceae. The record is from RNAcentral.